GUGUCAGCAGCCGCGGUAAUACGGAGGGUGCAAGCGUUGCUCGGAAUUACUGGGCGUAAAGCGAACGCAGGCGGUUCACUAAGUCGGGCGUGAAAGCCCCGGGCUCAACCUGGGAAUUGCACCCGAUACUGGUAGACUUGAGUCUGAGAGAGGGAAGCGGAAUUCCUGGUGUAGAGGUGAAAUUCGUUGAUAUCAGGAGGAACACCGGCGGCGAAGGCGGCUUCCUGGCUCAGUACUGACGCUCAUGUUCGAAAGCGUGGGGAGCGAACAGGAUUAGAUACCCUUGUAGUCC
Molecule: ribosomal RNA, 292 nt
Filed under: uncultured bacterium
Lineage: Bacteria
Description: partial 16S ribosomal RNA
Rfam family: Bacterial small subunit ribosomal RNA
Source: RNAcentral